GACGAACGCUGGCGGCGUGCUUAACACAUGCAAGUCGAACGGAAAGGCCCUGCUUGCAGGGUACUCGAGUGGCGAACGGGUGAGUAACACGUGGGUGAUCUGCCCUGCACUUCGGGAUAAGCCUGGGCAACUGGGUCUAAUACCGGAUAGGAGCCAUUUUUAGUGUGAUGGUUGGAAAGUUUUUUCGGUGUAGGAUGAGCUCGCGGCCUAUCAGCUUGUUGGUGGGGUAAUGGCCUACCAAGGCAGCGACGGGUAGCCGGCCUGAGAGGGUGGACGGCCACAUUGGGACUGAGAUACGGCCCAGACUCCUACGGGAGGCAGCAGUGGGGAAUAUUGAACAAUGGGCGCAAGCCUGAUGCAGCGACGCCGCGGGGGGGAUGACGGCCUUCGGGUUGUAAACUCCUUUCGCUAGGGACGAAGCUUUUUGUGACGGUACCUAGAUAAGAAGCACCGGCUAACUACGUG
Molecule: ribosomal RNA, 465 nt
Filed under: uncultured bacterium
Lineage: Bacteria
Description: partial 16S ribosomal RNA
Rfam family: Bacterial small subunit ribosomal RNA
Source: RNAcentral